Molecule: non-coding RNA, 26 nt
Filed under: Cricetulus griseus (Chinese hamster)
Lineage: Eukaryota; Metazoa; Chordata; Mammalia; Rodentia; Cricetidae
Source: RNAcentral
GGUGCAUGAUCUCUAUAGUUCUGAGA